RNAcentral lists this transfer RNA (72 nucleotides) under Ophidiaster granifer. RNAcentral's name for it is "tRNA-Pro". It matches the Rfam family "tRNA". From Rfam's summary of the family: Transfer RNA (tRNA) molecules are approximately 80 nucleotides in length. Their secondary structure includes four short double-helical elements and three loops (D, anti-codon, and T loops). Further hydrogen bonds mediate the characteristic L-shaped molecular structure. tRNAs have two regions of fundamental functional importance: the anti-codon, which is responsible for specific mRNA codon recognition, and the 3' end, to which the tRNAs corresponding amino acid is attached (by aminoacyl-tRNA synthetases). tRNAs cope with the degeneracy of the genetic code in two manners: having more than one tRNA (with a specific anti-codon) for a particular amino acid; and 'wobble' base-pairing, i.e. permitting non-standard base-pairing at the 3rd anti-codon position. Lineage: Eukaryota; Metazoa; Echinodermata; Asteroidea; Valvatida; Ophidiasteridae. The record is from RNAcentral.
CAGGAAAUAGUUUAAUGAGAGAAUAAUAACUUUGGGAGUUAUUGGUACAAGUUUAAAUUCUUGUUUUCUUGA